This is a non-coding RNA of Schizosaccharomyces pombe (fission yeast), 368 nucleotides long. The record is from the annotation of a GenBank genome assembly. Lineage: Eukaryota; Fungi; Ascomycota; Schizosaccharomycetes; Schizosaccharomycetales; Schizosaccharomycetaceae.
UAAUAUUUUUUGUAUACUCUUCAAAUAAAUACGAAUUUGUUUUAGGCUGUUACUGACGAAAGCAUUUGCUAUGGCUUACUAUUCGCGACAAGUGCAGUACAAAAAAUAGUUGCAAUUGCUUAACUAAGUUGUAUCUCUGAUAAACUAACUGUCUUAAAUGAAAUUAAACUUAUAAAUUUCAUAUGCUAAUUAAAUAUAUAAAAAAUAGCUAAUAGUUAUCAGUUUUCAUUUAGAUAUGCACAAUCGGAUUAUGUUAAAAUUCUCUAACGGAACCGAAGUUUAAAACCCUCUUAUUUAAGAUCAGAUACAUUAUUUAAUAUUGUAGAUUUAGUUAUAUUUUUGCUCCGUGUUUAACUCGAGUUUUCAAA